UACGAAGGGGGGCUAGCGUUGCUCGGAAUGACUGGGCGUAAAGGGCGCGUAGGCGGAUGGCACAGUCAGAUGUGAAAUUCCCGGGCUUAACCUGGGGGGCUGCAUUUGAUACGUGUUGUCUAGAGUGAGGAAGAGGGUUGUGGAAUUCCCAGUGUAGAGGUGAAAUUCGUAGAUAUUGGGAAGAACACCGGUGGCGAAGGCGGCAACCUGGUCCUUGACUGACGCUGAGGCGCGAAAGCGUGGGGAGCAAACAGG
Molecule: ribosomal RNA, 255 nt
Filed under: uncultured bacterium
Lineage: Bacteria
Description: partial 16S ribosomal RNA
Rfam family: Bacterial small subunit ribosomal RNA
Source: RNAcentral